GAAGUAGCUGUUAUUAUCCCCAUUUUAUAGAUGAGAAAACGGAGGCUCAGGGAAAGAAAGUAACUUUCUAAAGGAUAGCACAUUAUAUUUAGUCAUCAUGUCUCCUUAGGCUCCUUUUGGCUGUGACAGUUUCUCUGGCUUUCCUUGUUUUUGGUGGCCUUGACAGCUUUGACGACUGGUCAGGCACCACUGCAUACGUCAUCUCAUUUGACUCCAGUCUGUGAUCAUCCACAAGAAAUGCAGCCCAGGGCACAGAGGCAGCUGUCUGCUCACCUUAUCCAUGCUGGCCUGGUUUAGUCUCAUGAUGGAGGCGUGAGCCAGGCGGUCGUACACUGUCCUCAGGGCCUUUUUGGAGUAGAGCUCUUGGGGUUUGAACAAUUCCUCCAUAAACUUUCGAUUGAACAUGGUUGAGAUGAUGUCAUUCAGAACUGUAGAGACAAGAGAAGAUGCAGCUGAGCAAGCAUACUUGGUGUGGGGAGAGCACUUAAAAUAUCGAGGACAUUGGCUAUGACAUGCAUAAACUAUACCCAGAUGUCAAAUGAUGGAAGAUAUUCGUGACAGUUAAAGGGGACACCGGUUCGAGCCCUGGUCCGGGAAGAUCCCACAUGCCACAGAGCAACUAAGCCUGUGUGCCACAACUACUGAGCCCGUGUGCCACAACUACUGAGCCCACGCACCUAGAGCCCGUGCUCCGCAAGGAGAAGCCACCGCAAUGAGAAGCCCGCGCACUGCAAUGAAGAGUAGCCCCCGCUCGCCGCAACUAGAGAAAGCCCGCGUGCAGCAACGAAGCCCCA
This is a long non-coding RNA of Balaenoptera ricei (Rice's whale), 794 nucleotides long. RefSeq lists it as uncharacterized. The transcript is spliced from 5 exons. Lineage: Eukaryota; Metazoa; Chordata; Mammalia; Artiodactyla; Balaenopteridae. The record is from RefSeq and is a predicted model, not a curated record.